GACGAACGCUGGCGGCGUGCUUAACACAUGCAAGUCGAGCGGUAAGGCCCCUUCGGGGGUACACGAGCGGCGAACGGGUGAGUAACACGUGGGUGACCUGCCCUCAGCUCUGGGAUAAGCCUGGGAAACCGGUCUAAUACCGGAUAUGACUCCAUGACGCAUGUUGUGGGGUGGAAAGCCUUGUGCGGCUGAGGAUGGGCCCGCGGCCUAUCAGCUUGGUUGGUGGGGUGAUGGCCUACCAAGGCGACGACGGGUAGCCGGCCUGAGAGGGCGACCGGCCACACUGGGACUGAGACACGGCCCAGACUCCUACGGGAGGCAGCAGUGGGGAAUCUUGCGCAAUGGGCGAAAGCCUGACGCAGCGACGCCGCGUGAGGGAUGACGGCCU
This 388-nucleotide ribosomal RNA is filed under the name uncultured bacterium. Its description in RNAcentral is "bacterial SSU rRNA". It matches the Rfam family "Bacterial small subunit ribosomal RNA", at positions 28 to 417 of the family's 1533-position model. The record is from RNAcentral.